This 711-nucleotide ribosomal RNA is filed under the name Escherichia coli. RNAcentral describes it as "partial 23S ribosomal RNA". It matches the Rfam family "Bacterial large subunit ribosomal RNA", at positions 2088 to 2798 of the family's 2925-position model. The record is from RNAcentral. Lineage: Bacteria; Pseudomonadati; Pseudomonadota; Gammaproteobacteria; Enterobacterales; Enterobacteriaceae.
ACCCCGUGAACCUUUACUAUAGCUUGACACUGAACAUUGAGCCUUGAUGUGUAGGAUAGGUGGGAGGCUUUGAAGUGUGGACGCCAGUCUGCAUGGAGCCGACCUUGAAAUACCACCCUUUAAUGUUUGAUGUUCUAACGUUGACCCGUAAUCCGGGUUGCGGACAGUGUCUGGUGGGUAGUUUGACUGGGGCGGUCUCCUCCUAAAGAGUAACGGAGGAGCACGAAGGUUGGCUAAUCCUGGUCGGACAUCAGGAGGUUAGUGCAAUGGCAUAAGCCAGCUUGACUGCGAGCGUGACGGCGCGAGCAGGUGCGAAAGCAGGUCAUAGUGAUCCGGUGGUUCUGAAUGGAAGGGCCAUCGCUCAACGGAUAAAAGGUACUCCGGGGAUAACAGGCUGAUACCGCCCAAGAGUUCAUAUCGACGGCGGUGUUUGGCACCUCGAUGUCGGCUCAUCACAUCCUGGGGCUGAAGUAGGUCCCAAGGGUAUGGCUGUUCGCCAUUUAAAGUGGUACGCGAGCUGGGUUUAGAACGUCGUGAGACAGUUCGGUCCCUAUCUGCCGUGGGCGCUGGAGAACUGAGGGGGGCUGCUCCUAGUACGAGAGGACCGGAGUGGACGCAUCACUGGUGUUCGGGUUGUCAUGCCAAUGGCACUGCCCGGUAGCUAAAUGCGGAAGAGAUAAGUGCUGAAAGCAUCUAAGCACGAAACUUGCC